This 354-nucleotide long non-coding RNA is filed under the name Gossypium raimondii (Peruvian cotton). RNAcentral describes it as "long non-coding RNA (GRAI_LNC008867)". The record is from RNAcentral. Lineage: Eukaryota; Viridiplantae; Streptophyta; Magnoliopsida; Malvales; Malvaceae.
UAUUUUUUGUUGAUAUAAAUUUUGAUAAGUCAGGAAGUAUUGACUCAAUAUUAAGGUUAAUGUCUUUAGAACUUUGAGAUAUUAACUUUAAGUUCCGUCUUAAGUAAAUUUAAGUCCCACCAUACAAGACUUUUGUUUAGAUUUUUUUUUCUAAAUUCGGAUAUAUUAUGAUUGUGCAUUAUAAUAAUUUAAUUUUAGUUGUAGUUCUUCAAACAUGCAUUAUUUGUGUUUGUGCUUAUAGUUGUUGGUGCAACAAGUCACAAAUUAAAUUGCAACUCAUCAUGCAACUAGUUUUGUUUAGACUAGUUUGUUUUAUGUUGAAUUUUUUCACAUGAUUUUGUGUAGCAAAUUAAG